Molecule: ribosomal RNA, 924 nt
Rfam family: Bacterial small subunit ribosomal RNA
GUUGUUGGAGCUUGCUCCAACAACGUUAGCGGCGGACGGGUGAGUAACACGUGGGCAACCUGCCUUAACGACUGGGAUAACUCCGGGAAACCGGGGCUAAUACCGGAUAACAUCUAGCACCUCCUGGUGCAAGAUUAAAAGAGGGCCUCUGGCUCUCACGUUAAGAUGGGCCCGCGGCGCAUUAGCUAGUUGGAGAGGUAAUGGCUCCCCAAGGCGACGAUGCGUAGCCGACCUGAGAGGGUGAUCGGCCACACUGGGACUGAGACACGGCCCAGACUCCUACGGGAGGCAGCAGUAGGGAAUCUUCCGCAAUGGACGAAAGUCUGACGGAGCAACGCCGCGUGAGUGAAGAAGGGUUUCGGCUCGUAAAGCUCUGUUAUGAGGGAAGAACACGUACCGUUCGAAUAGGGCGGUACCUUGACGGUACCUCAUCAGAAAGCCACGGCUAACUACGUGCCAGCAGCCGCGGUAAUACGUAGGUGGCAAGCGUUGUCCGGAAUUAUUGGGCGUAAAGCGCGCGCAGGCGGCCUCUUAAGUCUGAUGUGAAAUCUUGCGGCUCAACCGCAAGCGGCCAUUGGAAACUGGGGGGCUUGAGUACAGAAGAGGAGAGUGGAAUUCCACGUGUAGCGGUGAAAUGCGUAGAUAUGUGGAGGAACACCAGUGGCGAAGGCGACUCUCUGGUCUGUAACUGACGCUGAGGCGCGAAAGCGUGGGGAGCAAACAGGAUUAGAUACCCUGGUAGUCCACGCCGUAAACGAUGAGUGCUAGGUGUUAGGGGUUUCGAUGCCCGUAGUGCCGAAGUUAACACAUUAAGCACUCCGCCUGGGGAGUACGGCCGCAAGGCUGAAACUCAAAGGAAUUGACGGGGGGCCCGCACAAGCAGUGGAGCAUGUGGUUUAAUUCGAAGCAACGCGAAGAACCUUA